Molecule: non-coding RNA, 28 nt
Filed under: Cricetulus griseus (Chinese hamster)
Lineage: Eukaryota; Metazoa; Chordata; Mammalia; Rodentia; Cricetidae
Source: RNAcentral
ACAGGGCUUUGCUGCCACAUUGGAACAG